Molecule: ribosomal RNA, 399 nt
Filed under: uncultured bacterium
Lineage: Bacteria
Description: bacterial SSU rRNA
Rfam family: Bacterial small subunit ribosomal RNA
Source: RNAcentral
UGAGGAAUUUUGCGCAAUGGGGGAAACCCUGACGCAGCAACGCCGCGUGAGUGAUGAAGGCCUUCGGGUCGUAAAGCUCUGUCAAGUGGGAAGAAUCUGUCCGGUGAUAAUACCGCUGGGCAAUGACGGUACCGCUGAAGGAAGCACCGGCUAACUCCGUGCCAGCAGCCGCGGUAAUACGGGGGGUGCUAGCGUUAUUCGGAAUCAUUGGGCGUAAAGGGCGCGUAGGCGGUCUUUUAAGUCAGAUGUGAAAGCCCUCGGCUUAACUGAGGAAGUGCAUUUGAUACUAAAAGACUUGAGUAUGGGAGAGGGAAGCGGAAUUCCUGGUGUAGUGGUGAAAUGCGUAGAUAUCAGGAGGAACACCGGUGGCGAAGGCGGCUUCCUGGACCAAUACUGACG